This 63-nucleotide ribosomal RNA is filed under the name Plectostoma concinnum. RNAcentral's name for it is "partial 5.8S ribosomal RNA". The stretch from base 16 to 63 matches the Rfam family "5.8S ribosomal RNA", at positions 1 to 48 of the family's 154-position model. From Rfam's summary of the family: 5.8S ribosomal RNA (5.8S rRNA) is a component of the large subunit of the eukaryotic ribosome. It is transcribed by RNA polymerase I as part of the 45S precursor that also contains 18S and 28S rRNA. Lineage: Eukaryota; Metazoa; Mollusca; Gastropoda; Architaenioglossa; Diplommatinidae. The record is from RNAcentral.
AACUGAAAAAGUAAUCACUUUAGGCGGUGGAUCACUUGGCUCGUGCGUCGAUGAAGAACGCAG